This 214-nucleotide long non-coding RNA is filed under the name Capra hircus (goat). RNAcentral describes it as "lncRNA (ENSCHIG00010025061.1)". Lineage: Eukaryota; Metazoa; Chordata; Mammalia; Artiodactyla; Bovidae. The record is from RNAcentral.
GAUAGUGAGUUCUCUUCUCAGCUCUGCUGUUUAUUAGCUGGCUGAUCAUGAGAAAAUUACAUAAACUCUCUGACUGUCACUUUCCCUGUCUCUAGCAAAGGCUGUUAUGAUGGGAUUUUUGGGAAAAAGAAGAAAUUUCCUGAAAAGGACUUGGCAUUGAGCCUGGCAAAGACCCACAGGAGCCAGGCUUCCUGCCAGAGCGAGGACUCGGCAG